UAGGGAAUCUUCCGCAAUGGGCGAAAGCCUGACGGAGCAACGCCGCGUGAGUGAUGAAGGUCUUCGGAUCGUAAAACUCUGUUAUUAGGGAAGAACAAAUGUGUAAGUAACUAUGCACGUCUUGACGGUACCUAAUCAGAAAGCCACGGCUAACUACGUGCCAGCAGCCGCGGUAAUACGUAGGUGGCAAGCGUUAUCCGGAAUUAUUGGGCGUAAAGCGAGCGCAGGCGGUCAAUUAAGUCUGAUGUGAAAGCCCCCGGCUCAACCGGGGAGGGUCAGUGGAAACUGGGUGACUUGAGUGCAGAAGAGGAGAGUGGAAUUCCAUGUGUAGCGGUGAAAUGCGUAGAUAUAUGGAGGAACACCAGUGGCGAAGGAGACUCUCUGGUCUGUAACUGACGCUGAGGUUCGAAAGCGUGGGUAGCAAACAGG
This 429-nucleotide ribosomal RNA is filed under the name Bacteroidota bacterium. RNAcentral describes it as "Bacteroidetes bacterium partial 16S ribosomal RNA". It matches the Rfam family "Bacterial small subunit ribosomal RNA", at positions 355 to 776 of the family's 1533-position model. Lineage: Bacteria; Pseudomonadati; Bacteroidota. The record is from RNAcentral.